GAAAUGCGAUAAGUAGUGUGAAUUGCAGAAUUCAGUGAAUCAUCGAAUCUUUGAACGCACAUUGCGCCCUUUGGUAUUCCAAAGGGCAUGCCUGUUCGAGCGUCAUUUGUACCCUCAAGCUUUGCUUGGUGUUGGGCGUCUUGUCUCUAGCUUUGCUGGAGACUCGACUUAAAGUAAUUGGCAGCCGGCCUACUGGUUUCGGAGCGCAGCACAAGUCGCACUCUCUAUCAGCAAAGGUCUAGCAUCCAUUAAGCCUUUUUUCAACUUUUGACCUCGGAUCAGGUAGGGAUACCCGCUGAACUUAAGC
RNAcentral lists this unclassified non-coding RNA (307 nucleotides) under plant metagenome. RNAcentral describes it as "partial contains 5.8S ribosomal RNA, internal transcribed spacer 2, and large subunit ribosomal RNA". The stretch from base 1 to 105 matches the Rfam family "5.8S ribosomal RNA", at positions 50 to 154 of the family's 154-position model. The record is from RNAcentral.